AUGACGAGUUGCCCCAAUUCCCAUGUGUCGGUGUACAAAAAGAGGGGCACGCUUUUGUACCCCGUUACCUGUGCACGGGCAGUCGGAGCCGCGCCCACGGCCACACCAAGCAGAACUGGGGAGGUGAGCCAAGGUAAGACCAAAGCCCAAGACAAUCAAAGCAACGCCAAGGCCAAGACCACAAAGAGCAGAGGGACCAAGCAGGUUCCCCUGGCAAUACCCUUGCCGAGCAGCCUCGGCAGCCCCGGCAAGGUCCUUGCCGGGGCAGCUCGCCCCACACCAACAGAGCAAGCCACCCUUGAGCCCAUGGUCCCCAACGCCAUCAUCGACGUGGGGCCAGGGCUUGGGAAGGCACCUCUGUGGUGGCAUGCAGAUCUUUGUGAAGACAUGUUCAAGAUCAGACGAGGAUUAGAAGAUGACGAUCCUACGCAAGAUCCUUGA
Molecule: ribosomal RNA, 441 nt
Filed under: Triticum aestivum (bread wheat)
Lineage: Eukaryota; Viridiplantae; Streptophyta; Magnoliopsida; Poales; Poaceae
Description: partial small subunit ribosomal RNA
Source: RNAcentral